This 283-nucleotide long non-coding RNA is filed under the name Mytilus galloprovincialis (Mediterranean mussel). Lineage: Eukaryota; Metazoa; Mollusca; Bivalvia; Mytilida; Mytilidae. The record is from RNAcentral.
CUCUCGGUCUUAGUGAAUAGAAUAUUGGAUAGAAUUGAAUGUUUUUAUGAUUUUACCUCAUAUAGAAACUGUAAACUAGAACUUUGGUUCAGAUCAUUUCACUUCUAUCAACAAAAACUUGAAUAAACCUCAACUUAGACACAUGAGUUUUUAAUUAGUUGUUGUUAGUUUUCAACUAGCUUUCCACUUUGUCUUCACCCGACUUGCCAAUGUUGGUCGUUCAUUUGGCUGUGCAGGAUGUAUAAAUACGCUGUCACGUCUGGUUAGAACGGGGACAUUAAAG